GGAAGGGCCCUGGAGAGCAUGCACGUGGGGAAUCUUCCCCUGGAGUCGGGAAGGGACAGAUGACCCCGAAACCCAGGAACCACUCCAGGGAGCAGCCAUCAGCCGGCAGCAAGCGCAGCUCCUGAGUGGAGUGCAAUUCCCGUUUUAAACCCAAGGUCGCCGGCCGUCGACCUCAGUGCAGUGACUUUGUAUCUUUUUCGUUUGUCUCUGAAAUGGGGACGACCCAGGUCAGCGCGGUUUUGGAUCCACUGGGUGGACGUGCUUACCCUGCGCUGUAUGGUCCCCUGCACCCCCCAUUUUGGGGAUUGGAACUGGCACUGGGAGGAAGGCCGUGACUUAAGACACUCCAGUCCCGCUCCUGUCUAUCCCACCAGCCUUCCCGCCAGGCCCUCCAGGGCACACGGACCCCAAGACGAGUCUCCGCACACAGACCGUGGUCAGCCAGAUGCCUGCUGGUCAUAGAGACAAAGUCACCCAGCCUCUCUGAAGCCGGAUCUCUCCCCCCGAGUCCCGCGGCCUAUCGGAGAGAGACUCGCCCAAGGUGAAGAUCGCUGGUCACGGGGAAGAGAAGAGAGAAGAGCAGCGCUCGUCCUGUAAGCUGUGAAGGCUAGCAGAGCUGUGAAAUUUGACCCCAGGCUUCCUGGAAGCGAAAAUAGAACCCUGGACAGCCUCCCCCGGCCCCUGCCCUGACGAGGGAGGUACAGUGCUCUGGCAUGCCAGUCCAAAAAUAACGGACUGAAUCAGGAACGAAGCAGAAGGGCCCGUCCCCAUGCCUGUGCCCGCCACGGGGAGGAAAUGAAAGCGGAAGGUGAGGGAACUGUCCCCAGGAAGUAGGAACUGAGAAGGAAAACCACCCGGCCGGCCGCCACUUGGCUGUCCAGCCCCCAGUCCUACGGCGCGCUCUCGCUCCCUCAUCACCUGUUUUACUUCUCCCAACAGAAGUUGUGUUUGUGGCCCUGGCUGGUGCCGCUCAGUGGAUUGAGCUCGGGCUGCGAACCAAAGGGUCGCAGGUUC
This is a long non-coding RNA of Phyllostomus hastatus (greater spear-nosed bat), 1014 nucleotides long. RefSeq lists it as uncharacterized. The transcript is spliced from 3 exons. The record is from RefSeq and is a predicted model, not a curated record. NCBI's taxonomy places the organism in Eukaryota, Metazoa, Chordata, Mammalia, Chiroptera, Phyllostomidae.